Molecule: long non-coding RNA, 808 nt
Organism: Juglans regia (Persian walnut)
Lineage: Eukaryota; Viridiplantae; Streptophyta; Magnoliopsida; Fagales; Juglandaceae
Exons: 2
Source: RefSeq, a predicted model, not a curated record
UCUUCACUUCCCCCCAACCUCCUUAAUUCUUUCCCCUUUCUGAACCCUAAAUCCUUCGGCGUGUGACAAAGCCUCUCCCUUCACAGCACCUUGCCCACAAGGUGUGGGAAGGUGGUCUUCAACUGCUCCCAUGUUUACCCUUCCAUGCCAUUGAACCAAGAGCUCAGUGAGAGGCUGGUUCUUGAACUUCCUGACUCGACGAGCCAACACUAGCUCAAGCUCUGGUUUGAAGACCCCAGCGGCGUCUAUGGGGGGCAAAGUAGGCAAGUGCACGUUUCAAUGGCCCAACCUUUUCUUCAAGCAUGAUAUAUGGAACACCGGGUGUAUGGUUGUCGUUGGAGGUAAUUGGAUCUUGUAAGCCACCAUGCCAACCCUCUAUACUACUGGGUAAGGUCUAUAAACCUUGGAGCUAACUUUGCAUUUCUUCGAUGAUCCAUUGUAAGUUGGCGAUAAGGCUGAAGCCGAAGAUAAACUUGAUCUCCAACUUGUAAAGAUCUUAAGUUGUGAGUCAGUGGAUUUCUUCAAGGAAGAUAACCCAUCCUGAAGUUGAUUAAGGCGUGUACCUUCUGCCAUUGUUCUUGAACCGAAUGAUGAAGAAGAAGAUAGAACCAAGCGAUGGUCACUAUGGAUCAAUCUCUGAUACCAACUGUUACACUCUCAAAUCUGUGAUAUAUUUUUAUGAAUUUUCUAUGUAAGGAUGACUGUAAUAGUGAGCUUUUUAGAAGGGAGUAUCUCUAGAAAGUUAGAGAGAGAGAAGAGCGAAUUGGAUAACAACUUUGAUUGAAAUUCAACAUAAACCUUCAGCACA